RNAcentral lists this ribosomal RNA (253 nucleotides) under uncultured bacterium. RNAcentral's name for it is "partial 16S ribosomal RNA". It matches the Rfam family "Bacterial small subunit ribosomal RNA", at positions 524 to 776 of the family's 1533-position model. The record is from RNAcentral.
UACGUAGGGUCCGAGCGUUGUCCGGAAUUAUUGGGCGUAAAGGGCUCGUAGGCGGUUUGUCACGUCGGGAGUGAAAACUCAGGGCUCAACCCUGAGCGUGCUUCCGAUACGGGCAGACUAGAGGUAUGCAGGGGAGAACGGAAUUCCUGGUGUAGCGGUGGAAUGCGCAGAUAUCAAGAGGAACACCGGUGGCGAAGGCGGUUCUCUGGGCAUGACCUGACGCUGAGGAGCGAAAGCGUGGGGAGCGAACAGG